UACGGAGGGUGCAAGCGUUAUCCGGAUUUACUGGGUUUAAAGGGUGCGCAGGCGGAUAUGUAAGUCAGUGGUGAAAUCUUCCCGCUUAACGGGAAAACUGCCGUUGAUACUAUAUAUCUUGAAUGCUGUGGAGGUAAGCAGAAUAUGUCAUGUAGCGGUGAAAUGCUUAGAGAUGACAUAGAAUACCGAUUGCGAAGGCAGCUUACUACACAAUUAUUGACACUGAGGCUCGAAAGCGUGGGGAUCAAACAGG
Molecule: ribosomal RNA, 253 nt
Filed under: uncultured bacterium
Lineage: Bacteria
Description: partial 16S ribosomal RNA
Rfam family: Bacterial small subunit ribosomal RNA
Source: RNAcentral